CAUAAUGCAUUGAUGAAGACAGUAGGACUAGAAUAGUUUUUAGCGAGUCGGGCAUGGUGGGAGCCGAUAAAUGAUGUCUAGUUUGAAAAUCACUUCUGAGCAGAAGGCUGAAAAUGGAGUAUAUCCAUUAUUAGGUCGACCGUCUAGUCACGAUAUAGACUAAUUGAGAGUCCAGGAUUUUCCUGGGAACUUGGGUGGUAACGCGAUUUUCUCGUCCCUUGC
RNAcentral lists this non-coding RNA (222 nucleotides) under Peptostreptococcus anaerobius. RNAcentral describes it as "T-box sequence". It matches the Rfam family "T-box leader". Rfam says of the family: Uncharged tRNA acts as the effector for transcription antitermination of genes in the T-box leader family. T-boxes are found upstream of many aminoacyl-tRNA synthetase genes and some amino acid biosynthetic genes usually in Gram-positive bacteria. The anticodon of a specific tRNA base pairs to a specifier sequence within the T-box motif, and the NCCA acceptor tail of the tRNA base pairs to a conserved bulge in the T-box antiterminator hairpin. The record is from RNAcentral. Lineage: Bacteria; Bacillati; Bacillota; Clostridia; Peptostreptococcales; Peptostreptococcaceae.